GCCCCUUUAGCUCAGUUGGUAGAGCGCGACACUAGUAUCCAUCAAGAUGCCGAGAUGUCGAGGCCGCCGGUUCGAAUCCGUCAGGGGGCA
Molecule: non-coding RNA, 90 nt
Organism: Taxawa tesnikishii (nom. ined.)
Lineage: Eukaryota; Fungi; Ascomycota; Dothideomycetes; Dothideales
Source: the annotation of a GenBank genome assembly